This 164-nucleotide ribosomal RNA is filed under the name uncultured bacterium. Its description in RNAcentral is "partial 16S rRNA". It matches the Rfam family "Bacterial small subunit ribosomal RNA", at positions 354 to 511 of the family's 1533-position model. The record is from RNAcentral.
GUAGGGAAUCUCCACAAUGGACGCAAGUCUGAUGGAGCAACGCCGCGUGAGUGAAGAAGGGUUUCGGCUCGUAAAGCUCUGUUGUUAAAGAAGAACGUGGGUAAGAGUAACUGUUUACCCAGUGACGGUAUUUAACCAGAAAGCCACGGCUAACUACGUGCCAG